Molecule: ribosomal RNA, 433 nt
Filed under: uncultured bacterium
Lineage: Bacteria
Description: partial 16S ribosomal RNA
Rfam family: Bacterial small subunit ribosomal RNA
Source: RNAcentral
AACGAACGCUGGCGGCAUGCCUAACACAUGCAAGUCGAACGAGACCUCCGGGUCUAGUGGCGCACGGGUGCGUACCGCGUGGGAACCCGCCCUUAGGUUCGGAAUAACUCCCCGAAAGGGGUGCUAAUACCGGAUAAUGUCUUCGGACCAAAGAUUUAUCGCCUUUGGAUGGGCCCGCGUUGGAUUAGCUAGUUGGUAGGGUAAAAGCCUACCAAGGCGACGAUCCAUAGCUGGUCUGAGAGGAUGAUCAGCCACACUGGGACUGAGACACGGCCCAGACUCCUACGAGAAGCAGCAGUGGGGAAUAUAGGACAAGGGGCGAGAGCCUGAUCCAGCAAGGCCGCGUGGGUGAUGAAGGCCUUAGGGUUGUAAAGCUCUUUUACCCGGGAUGAUAGUGACAGUACCGGGAGAAGAAGCACCGGCUAACUCCGUG